Long non-coding RNA from Oncorhynchus tshawytscha (Chinook salmon), 104 nucleotides. RefSeq lists it as uncharacterized. The record is from RefSeq and is a predicted model, not a curated record. The transcript is spliced from 3 exons. NCBI's taxonomy places the organism in Eukaryota, Metazoa, Chordata, Actinopteri, Salmoniformes, Salmonidae.
AGAGGCUGGGUCUGUAGCAGGAGAGGUAGAGGCUGGGUCUGUAGCAGGAGAGGUAGAGGCUGGGUCUGUAGCAGGAGAGGUAGAGGCUGGGUCUGUAGCAGGAG